UACCAUGAGUGGAGCAGCUACAGCUAUAACACCCACGCGGAUCGGAACCCACGGCAUAAACUUCUUGCUCCAUCCUGAUGCACUUUCAUUGGGUCCGCUGGUGGGUGGUGUUUCCAAACUACCUUCAAACCACAUCCAUGCUGUGACUGGAGGGGUGCCAGGCCACAUCUGGAGCUCAUUGCUGCUGACGCCACACAGCACACAGAGUGGGCUGGGGUGAGAGGGUGUAUUUCAGCUCAUUGGAUCUUUGCCUGGAGAGCUGUUUAUGCUCUGUGAUAAUUUCCUUUUUUCCACACAGUCGAGGAGCUGGAACCGGUCUCACUCCUUCUGAAUUUCAAGUGGCAGUGAAGGCAGGAGUUUUUCUUGGUCUUUUUGUCAAUCAGAUUCCUCUCAAUGGCACAAAAACAAGAAGUCAUAAGCUUUCUCAAAGGAGCAACUGCUUUAUAUGACACCCUGACUAACAGGCCAGCCCAUAGCAUCCUCUAAGUGUCCCGUCGGCAAAUUCGGUGAAACAUGAUCAAAGGUGAUGUUUUAGAUUUGUGAGCAGUGAGGUAAUGAAAACCCGCUGCAGGAAUGUCAAAAGACCUCAGUUGUUAUUGAUAAUUUUUCCCAACCUGGUUUGAAUUUGAGGUCUGCUUUACUCUUUCAUGUCAAAAAAAGAUGUUUUUUCUUUCUUUGAAAAAGGUGUACCUGGAUGAGAUGGCUUUUGGGAGUUUUCACUUAAUGUGAAGUCUUGGACAGGAUUCCAGAAGUUUGAGGAAUUUGGACGGCUGCUCUAUUUAGCGAGCUUUAUUUGGAAAGCAAUGAAACUUCCUGGGCCUGGAACCCACUUCCACCAUAAUGAGUCCAAGUUAAACCAGCCCUGGAUGUUAUUCUCUUCUGAAAUAGAAGGUGGUCGGUGUGCCAAGGUUGCAUGAAGGGAUUCUUAGUCUGUGCUUGGAACCUUAUUCUAUAUGGUAUGUUUGUGUGAACAAAUAAUGAGAAUGGUGUGUCCUUGCUGUGGCCCUCUGCAGGCUCAGAAAUGUCUUUAGGCUGUAAAGGGUAGAUUUUGGGUCUAACAAGAAAAAAUAUAAAUCACCACAAAAAUAAA
Molecule: long non-coding RNA, 1090 nt
Organism: Girardinichthys multiradiatus
Lineage: Eukaryota; Metazoa; Chordata; Actinopteri; Cyprinodontiformes; Goodeidae
Exons: 2
Source: RefSeq, a predicted model, not a curated record